GAGUUUGAUCCUGGCUCAGGGUGAACGCUGGCGGCGCGCUUAAUGCAUGCAAGUCGAGCGUGAUCGUGGCUUCGGCCACAAUGAUAAAGCGGCAGACGGCUGAGUAACGCGUGAGUAAUCUGCCCUCCGGUGGGGUAUAACCUCGGGAAACUGAGGAUAAUCCCGCAUACGACCUGCAUCCCUUGGGGUGCAGAUGAAAGGCUUCGGUCGCCGGAGGAGGAGCUCGCGUCCUAUCAGGUUGUUGGUGGGGUAAUGGCCUACCAAGCCGAUGACGGGUAGCUGGUCUGAGAGGAUGACCAGCCAGAGGGGGACUGAGAACGGCCCCCACUCCUACGGGAGGCAGCAGCAGGGAAUCUUGGGCAAUGGGCGAAAGCCUGACCCAGCGACGUCGCGUGGGGGACGAAGGCCUUCGGGUUGUAAACCCCUUUUCCGAGGGAAGAGAAAGGACGGUACCUCGGGAAUAAGCCCCGGCUAACUACGUGCCAGCAGCCGCGGUAAUACGUAGGGGGCAAGCGUUACCCGGAAUCACUGGGCGUAAAGUGCGCGUAGGCGGUUGGAUAAGUCUCUUGUGAAAGCUCCCGGCUCAACUGGGAGAGGUCAAGGGAUACUAUUUGACUAGAGGACAGCAGAGGUAAGCAGAAUUCCCGGUGUAGCGGUGGAAUGCGUAGAUAUCGGGAGGAACACCAGUGGCGAAAGCGGCUUACUGGGCUGUAUCUGACGCUGAGGCGCGAGAGCGUGGGGAGCAAACUGGAUUAGAUACCCUGGUAGUC
Molecule: ribosomal RNA, 770 nt
Filed under: uncultured Chloroflexota bacterium
Lineage: Bacteria; Bacillati; Chloroflexota
Description: bacterial SSU rRNA
Rfam family: Bacterial small subunit ribosomal RNA
Source: RNAcentral